GAACAAAUGAAAAUAUUUUCUAGUCCUUAAGUUGAUUUUGGAAAUGCAAAGCCUUUAAAGGGAGACAGGCACACUGAUAGUUUAAUCAAGUAGCUGUUUGCUUGCUAUUAUUUACUUGGCCAAAAAAAAAAAACUUUAAAAAUAGCUUUUCCUUUUGGUUCGUUCAGUCUUCCUUGCCCCCUUACCUAAAGCAAAAAAUAGAUCAGAAACAUAAAAAUUUCAAUAUGGCGGAGGGGGGCACAGGACCGCAGGCAGGGGUCCUGGAGCCAGAGGGCCAAUUCCUAUCCCCUCAGCAGCAUGGCAUCGUGUGCUGAACCCUCUGAGCCCUCUGCCCCCGCCUCCUGCCAGGGUCCCACUGCUCGAGGACUUCGAGGUGCUGGAUGGGGUCGAGAAUGCAGAGGGCAAGGAGGGAGAGGAGGAGGAAGAUGACCUUAGAGAGCUGCCACUGCUGGAGGACAUGGGACAGCCCCUGGUGGAAGAGACUGAACGGCCCGGGACCUUGGCCCGAGAGUUCCUCACUGCCAUGGAGCCUGAGCCUGCCCCGUCCCCGGCCCCAGAAGAGUGGCCAGACAUAACCAGCUGUUGAGGAAGAAGACGCUUGUCCCAGGGCCACCGGGUUUGAGCUGCCCAGUCAAAGGCCAGGUGGUCACCAUGCAUUUGCAGACAUCACGAGAGAAUGGCAUGUGGGUGCAGGAGGAGCCGGAGCUAGUGUUCACCCUGAGCGUCUGUGAGGUCAUCCAGGCCCUGGAUCUCAGUGUCUAACUCAUGGACGUGGGGGAGGCAGCCAUGGUCACUGCUGACUGCAUGUACUGCUACAGCCCCCAGGACAGGAGCCCAUACAUCCCCUGCACGCGGCCCUAUGCCUGGAGGUGACCCCGAAGAUGGCCGUGGACUGGCCUGACCUGGAGAUGCUCAUAGGGCAGGAGCGCGUGGCCUUGGCCAACCGGAAGUGGGAGUGCGGCAGUGCCCACUACCAGUGGGCGGACUUCGUCCUGGCCACCAACUCCUAUGACCUUGCCAUCAAGACCGUCACCUCCAGCGCCAAAGUGGACAUGACGUUCGAGGAGGAGAAGCAGCUCCUGCAGUUGAGGGUGAGGUGUCUGAACAACCUGGUGUCCUCACAGGUGAAGCUCGACCACUACUGUGCAGCCCUGCGCUCCUGCAACCUCGUUGGAGCACCAUCUGGACAACAUCAAGGCUGUCUUCCACAAGGGCAAGAUACUGCCCCAGCAGGGUGAGUACAGUGAGGCCAUCCCUAUCCUGAGGGCGGUCCUGAAGCUGGAACCUUCCAACAAGACUAUCCACGCAGAGCUCUCGAAGCUGGUGAAGAAGCACGCAGCACAGCGGAGCAUGGAGACCGCUCUGUACUAGAAAAUGCUGGGCAACCCCAGCCGUGCCCCAGCAAGGGUGCCUGGUCCAGCCCAUGGAAGUGGCUGUUUGGGGCGACUGCUGUUGCUUUGGAGGGUGUGGCACUUUCUGUGGUAAUUCCUGCCAGGAACUGACCGCCCAGGUGGCCACACCCCGUCUGCACACCAUGGACCCUGCCCUGCGCUCCCUAACUCCCCCAGGCUCCCUGUCCACUGCCCUCCCUGGUCCAGCUGCCUCCUCCGAGUUGGAGGCAGCAAGGAUUGGGGGUCGUGCAGCCCAGCCAGUAGGAGGGACUGAGGCCCUCUAGGAGGAGUGCUUAGAGCAAGGGGGCCCUCAUUCCUUCAGACCCAGUUUCCCCCCAACUCCCCUUCUCCCGCUGGGCUAGGUCUCCGCUGGGGCUGGCCUCAACUUCUCCUCAACAGGCUUGGGGGCAGCCCCUGCUGCCUUGCCUGCCCCACGCUGUCUAGGCUGCUUUCCCGCCACAGUGAAAUAAAGCCUCCUACCCUGCAAAAAAAAAAAAAAAAAAAAAAAAAAUUCAGUAUGGCCUAAGAGGUUCUCUGGGCUUUGAAUCCAAAUUAAGCUCAGGCAAAUUAGUACUUGGAAAAAUAAUUUUUAACUUGUCAUUCAUUCAUUAAUAUGGUUAGGCUAACUUCACAAAUAGUUUGUAUAUUCAUUCAAGAUUAGUAAAUUUUUAUUUUCUUCACUCUUUAGUUCCAGAUUUUAUAGGACUCUCUUAGUGCUUUUCUCUGGGGUCACAUCUUCCUUUUAAUCACAGUCCUCUUGCUUUAUACCUCUGGAGACUACUCAAAGAGAUGAGGCAUAUUGGUUGGAUUAACUCUGCAGCAUACUAUUGUACAUAUUCCUAAGGAAGCUGUAUUUCAAGGAAAAGAUGUACUGGGGACUACUGGGGACUACAUAAAUCUUAUUUCAUCAAGAAUAUUAGAGUGGAGCUUUCUGUUUGUGGCUUUUCAAAGGCUCUCCUCCUCUCUUGGCAGAGGUGCUGCUUUGUGUAAUUUGUGCUGCUGUUUUCUUUAUUUGCUCAUCCUUACUUUCCCAUGAGAAUUAUUUCCCUUCAUACUGUUUUUUAAUGGAAGAAAGUUAGGAGUAAGCUUUUGAAAGCUAACCUUUUGUAAAUACCUCUCAAAAUAGAAUUAGUGUUGGAUCCAGAAAUAAGAUUAUAUAGGUAUAUUAAGUUCUGCUUUUUUACUCAAAAUGUUUUACAGUGUGCCAGUAUUGUACUUUUCUUGUGCUUUACUUCUUUUUAUU
Molecule: RNA transcript, 2634 nt
Organism: Cercocebus atys (sooty mangabey)
Lineage: Eukaryota; Metazoa; Chordata; Mammalia; Primates; Cercopithecidae
Gene name: peptidyl-prolyl cis-trans isomerase FKBP8 pseudogene
Exons: 1
Source: RefSeq, a predicted model, not a curated record